GAUGAAGAACGUAGCGAAAUGCGAUAAGUAGUGUGAAUUGCAGAAUUCAGUGAAUCAUCGAAUCUUUGAACGCACAUUGCGCCCCUUGGUAUCCCGAGGGGCAUGCCUGUUCGAGCGUCAUUUCACCACUCAAGCCUGGCUUGGUGUUGGGCGACGUCCUCUUUGGGGACGCGCCUCGAAACGCUCGGCGGCGUGGCACCGGCUUUAAGCGUAGCAGAAUCUUUCGCUUUGGAAGUCGGGGCCCCGUCUGCCGGAAGACCUGCUCGCAAGGUUGACCUCGGAUCAGGCAGGGAUACCCGCUGAUCUUAAGCAUAUCAAUAAGCGGAGGA
This 329-nucleotide unclassified non-coding RNA is filed under the name soil metagenome. Its description in RNAcentral is "partial contains 5.8S ribosomal RNA, internal transcribed spacer 2, and large subunit ribosomal RNA". The stretch from base 1 to 120 matches the Rfam family "5.8S ribosomal RNA", at positions 35 to 154 of the family's 154-position model. The record is from RNAcentral.